RNAcentral lists this non-coding RNA (21 nucleotides) under Caenorhabditis elegans. The record is from RNAcentral. Lineage: Eukaryota; Metazoa; Nematoda; Chromadorea; Rhabditida; Rhabditidae.
UUUACACAGUUUUGAAGCGCA